Long non-coding RNA from Salvia splendens (bonfire salvia), 1007 nucleotides. RefSeq lists it as uncharacterized. The transcript has 2 exons. NCBI's taxonomy places the organism in Eukaryota, Viridiplantae, Streptophyta, Magnoliopsida, Lamiales, Lamiaceae. The record is from RefSeq and is a predicted model, not a curated record.
CCCACUUGGUAAACCAAAUAAAAAAAUGGGGAGCAACAUCCCACGACAAGAAACUUUUUUCUAUAAGGCCAAAUGGUCGGCCGAGGUCGAUUCAGUGCUAUUGUCUGUCAUUGUUUGGGCAAAGAACAUGGGCCGAUGGAGCGGCAGCGUCAUCCCCAUCGCCAUUCUCCAGGAGGUCAUCGAGUCCAUUCAAUCUGAAACCGGUGUGUCGUUCUCAUGGCUCGAGUUGUACGAGCGGUACCAAUUUCUUGAGCAGUGCUUCCAUGCGUUCAAGCUUGUUUGGCAAACCCGCGGCGUCUAUUGGAAUAUGCAAUCAAACAUGGUUAUUUCUCCCAAUAGCGCAUGGUAAGAACUGAUACAGAAAAAUCAGUUGACCACCGUCUACUACUAUGCGGGUGACAUUGAGUAUCCCAGGCUAGCAAUGCUAUUUGGUAUGGAAGAUGUGAAGAAGGAGGAGAAUACCAAAGUGGUUGUCAUUUAUGAUACCACAGUCCUCAUAUAUAGGCCACGACCUCGACGUGGAAUUGGUCCGUCCUCGCCUUGCGGUGAGGCUAGCGACUCGGUCUCCUCACUUUUAGCUGAAAAUUUCGCGACCACUUGAAGAAAGUUGUUCUCCGAUGCUUAUGAACGAUUGGAUAAUGAGGAGGGUUACGUCGGAUGCGAAGCUAGAUACGUCGUCUCGAAUUAAGUCGCGCCCACUUCCUUUCAACCCCGCAGCUUCGCCGCACGGGAGCUCUUGCGGCUCCACAAGCCCUAGCAAUUGGUGAAGGAACAAUAUGAAGUAGAAGACUAUGUUUCGUUGCUUGGCCUAGGAUUAUCUAUUUGAAUAUGUUCGUAUAUACGUGACUUUCUGUUUAGGGCGUUCUGAGUAGUCUCGUUUAAUCAUUUCGUUUAUUUAGGUUAACAUUUAUUCAAGUAGUUGCAUGGCCUACUAAAUGUUUUAAAUCGUGUUGUAAUAUGGUGGAAAAUUGAGCUGAGCUUAAUAUAUAUGUCUCUUAAGUUUGAAA